Molecule: ribosomal RNA, 274 nt
Filed under: uncultured bacterium
Lineage: Bacteria
Description: partial 16S ribosomal RNA
Rfam family: Bacterial small subunit ribosomal RNA
Source: RNAcentral
AGACGGAGGGUGCAAGCGUUACUCGGAAUUACUGGGCGUAAAGCGUACGUAGGCGGCUUGUCAAGUUGGAUGUGAAAUCCCACAGCUUAACUGUGGAACUGCGUCCAAAACUGGCAGGCUCGAGAACAGUAGGGGACAGUGGAACUCCAGGUGGAGCGGUGAAAUGCGUAGAGAUCUGGAGGAACACCGGUGGCGAAAGCGACUGUCUGGGCUGUUUCUGACGCUGAGGUACGAAAGCUAGGGGAGCGAACGGGAUUAGAAACCCUAGUAGUCC